RNAcentral lists this transfer RNA (66 nucleotides) under Margattea angusta. RNAcentral's name for it is "tRNA-Leu". It matches the Rfam family "tRNA". Rfam says of the family: Transfer RNA (tRNA) molecules are approximately 80 nucleotides in length. RNAcentral also lists the same sequence under 2 other names. Lineage: Eukaryota; Metazoa; Arthropoda; Insecta; Blattodea; Pseudophyllodromiidae. The record is from RNAcentral.
UCUAAUUUGGCAGAGAAGUGCGGUGGAUUUAAGCUCCAUUAAUAAAGAUUAAAACUUUUUUUAGAA